UUAAAUUGAAGAGUUUGAUCAUGGCUCAGAUUGAACGCUGGCGGCAGGCCUAACACAUGCA
Molecule: ribosomal RNA, 61 nt
Filed under: Citrobacter koseri
Lineage: Bacteria; Pseudomonadati; Pseudomonadota; Gammaproteobacteria; Enterobacterales; Enterobacteriaceae
Also listed under: 45 other names
Description: partial 16S ribosomal RNA
Source: RNAcentral